RNAcentral lists this ribosomal RNA (230 nucleotides) under uncultured microorganism. RNAcentral's name for it is "partial 16S ribosomal RNA". It matches the Rfam family "Bacterial small subunit ribosomal RNA", at positions 524 to 752 of the family's 1533-position model. The record is from RNAcentral.
UACGUAGGGUGCGGGCGUUGUCCGGAAUUACUGGGCGUAAAGAGCUCGUAGGUGGUUUGUCGCGUCGUUUGUGUAAGCCCGCAGCUUAACUGCGGGACUGCAGGCGAUACGGGCAUAACUUGAGUGCUGUAGGGGAGACUGGAAUUCCUGGUGUAGCGGUGGAAUGCGCAGAUAUCAGGAGGAACACCGAUGGCGAAGGCAGGUCUCUGGGCAGUAACUGACGCUGAGGA